Molecule: ribosomal RNA, 23 nt
Filed under: Epidendrum tridactylum
Lineage: Eukaryota; Viridiplantae; Streptophyta; Magnoliopsida; Asparagales; Orchidaceae
Description: partial 26S large subunit ribosomal RNA
Source: RNAcentral
GCGACCCCAGGAUGGGCGAAGCC